RNAcentral lists this ribosomal RNA (247 nucleotides) under Priestia endophytica. RNAcentral's name for it is "Bacillus endophyticus partial 16S ribosomal RNA". It matches the Rfam family "Bacterial small subunit ribosomal RNA", at positions 556 to 803 of the family's 1533-position model. Lineage: Bacteria; Bacillati; Bacillota; Bacilli; Caryophanales; Bacillaceae. The record is from RNAcentral.
GGGCGUUAGCGCGCGCAGGCGGUUCCUUAAGUCUGAUGUGAAAGCCCACCGCUCUACCGUGGAGGGUCAUUGGAAACUGGGGAACUUGAGUGCAGAAGAAGAGAGCGGAAUUCCACGUGUAGCGGUGAAAUGCGUAGAGAUGUGGAGGAACACCCCUGGCGAAGGCGGCUCUCUGGUCUGUAUCUGUCACUGAGGCGCGAAAGCGUGGGGAGCGAACACGAUUAUAUACCCUGGCAGUCCCCCCCCC